RNAcentral lists this ribosomal RNA (253 nucleotides) under uncultured bacterium. RNAcentral's name for it is "partial 16S ribosomal RNA". It matches the Rfam family "Bacterial small subunit ribosomal RNA", at positions 524 to 776 of the family's 1533-position model. The record is from RNAcentral.
AACGUAGGUGGCAAGCGUUAUCCGGAAUUAUUGGGCGUAAAGAGCGUGUAGGCGGCCCGAUUAGUCCGCUGUGAAAGUCCAGGGCUCAACCCUGGAAUGCCGGUGGAUACUGUCGGGCUAGAGUCCGGAAGGGGCGAGUGGAAUUCCUGGUGUAGCGGUGAAAUGCGCAGAUAUCAGGAGGAACACCAAUGGCGAAGGCAGCUCGCUGGGACGUGACUGACGCUGAGACGCGAAAGCGUGGGGAGCAAACAGG